This 253-nucleotide ribosomal RNA is filed under the name uncultured bacterium. RNAcentral's name for it is "partial 16S ribosomal RNA". It matches the Rfam family "Bacterial small subunit ribosomal RNA", at positions 524 to 776 of the family's 1533-position model. The record is from RNAcentral.
UACAGAGGUCCCAAGCGUUAGGCGGAAUCACUGGGCUUAAAGCGCGUGUAGGCGGAUCGUUAAGUGCCUUGUGAAAUCCCACGGCUCAACCGUGGAACUGCUUGGCAUACUGGCGGUCUUGAGUCACCUAGGGGCCUGCGGAACAAACGGUGGAGCGGUGAAAUGCGUAGAUAUCGUUUGGAACGCCAACGGUGAAAACAACAGGCUGGGGGUGUACUGACGCUGAGACGCGAAAGCCAGGGGAGCAAACGGG